AGAGUUUGAUCAUGGCUCAGGAUGCACGCUGGCGGCGUGCCUAAUACAUGCAAGUCGAACGCUUUGUGCUUAAUUGAUAUGAUGAGCUUGCUCUGAUUUGAUUUUUUGAUUUCAAAGAGUGGCGAACGGGUGAGUAACACGUGGGUAACCUACCUCUUAGCAGGGGAUAACAUUUGGAAACAAGUGCUAAUACCGUAUAAUACCAACAACCGCAUGGUUGUUGGUUGAAAGAUGGUUCUGCUAUCACUAAGAGAUGGACCCGCGGUGCAUUAGCUAGUUGGUAAGGUAAUGGCUUACCAAGGCAAUGAUGCAUAGCCGAGUUGAGAGACUGAUCGGCCACAAUGGGACUGAGACACGGCCCAUACUCCUACGGGAGGCAGCAGUAGGGAAUCUUCCACAAUGGGCGCAAGCCUGAUGGAGCAACGCCGCGUGUGUGAUGAAGGGUUUCGGCUCGUAAAACACUGUUAUAAGAGAAGAACGGCACUGAGAGUAACUGUUCAGUGUGUGACGGUAUCUUACCAGAAAGGAACGGCUAAAUACGUGCCAGCAGCCGCGGUAAUACGUAUGUUCCAAGCGUUAUCCGGAUUUAUUGGGCGUAAAGCGAGCGCAGACGGUUAUUUAAGUCUGAAGUGAAAGCCCUCAGCUCAACUGAGGAAUUGCUUUGGAAACUGGAUGACUUGAGUGCAGUAGAGGAAAGUGGAACUCCAUGUGUAGCGGUGAAAUGCGUAGAUAUAUGGAAGAACACCAGUGGCGAAGGCGGCUUUCUGGACUGUAACUGACGUUGAGGCUCGAAAGUGUGGGUAGCAAACAGGAUUAGAUACCCUGGUAGUCCACACCGUAAACGAUGAGUGCUAGAUGUUCGAGGGUUUCCGCCCUUGAGUGUCGCAGCU
RNAcentral lists this ribosomal RNA (890 nucleotides) under uncultured bacterium. Its description in RNAcentral is "bacterial SSU rRNA". It matches the Rfam family "Bacterial small subunit ribosomal RNA", at positions 8 to 853 of the family's 1533-position model. The record is from RNAcentral.